Kogia breviceps (pygmy sperm whale) is the source of this 626-nucleotide non-coding RNA. NCBI's taxonomy places the organism in Eukaryota, Metazoa, Chordata, Mammalia, Artiodactyla, Physeteridae. The record is from RefSeq and is a predicted model, not a curated record.
UGCCCUGGAGGCCCAGGCCUGACCCCUAUUUCUUUCUACCUAGUCUGCAUUUAAAUCCCAUCGCUACCCUCCGCCUCCCUGCUCCUGCUCUGAACUACUGCGAGAGCCUAAGAAGGGAUCCCCCUGUUGCUGCUCUGGAUCCCAAACAACUCUCCCCACAUUUUGGCGCACAUCACUAUGAACUGCCCACGCCCUACCCCACCCCACGCUUCCUUGUUCCUGCUCACACUGGCCCCUUGAAGUGCUCCUGGCUUUACAAGCUCAUUUUUGCUGCAUGACUUACCUUCCCUGAUCAUUAUAUCUAAACCUGACCCCUGGUCCAAGGCACUCCCAAAUAGGUAAUACUCUGAAGGAAGAAAUACCACAAAUAAGCAUGUAAGGUAGUGUUCAGCUUCACAGCUCUGGUGGAAUUACUGGUCUGGAUGCUUCACUUUACUGCAAUAGUGGCCUCCAGCCAAGAUGACAUUAUGCGCACAGACACGCCACUGUCUACUGACGGAGUUCAUCAGUCAGUGUGAGCGCGCGUUGCCGGAAGAUGUGACUCUCUUCCCCCUCACCCCGAGGACAAGGCAGGGCCACCGCACGAUGCAGCAACAUGCCGAUCUCCAUGGAUUCCCGAAACACAG